RNAcentral lists this ribosomal RNA (372 nucleotides) under uncultured eukaryote. RNAcentral's name for it is "partial 18S ribosomal RNA". It matches the Rfam family "Eukaryotic small subunit ribosomal RNA", at positions 592 to 975 of the family's 1831-position model. The record is from RNAcentral.
CAAUAGCGUAUAUUAAAGUUGUUGCAGUUAAAAAGCUCGUAGUUGGAUUUUUGCUUGCCGCCGAUGUCGGAACUUCCGUACGUUCGGCGGCGUGCAUCCUUGGGUGGAACCUGUGUGGCAUUAGGUUGUCGUGCAGGGGAUGCUCAUCGUUUACUGUGAAAAAAUUAGAGUGUUCAAAGCAGGCUUACGCCGUUGAAUAUAUUAGCAUGGAAUAAUAAGAUAGGACCUUGGUACUAUUUUGUUGGUUUGCGCACCGAGGUAAUGAUUAACAGGGACAGUUGGGGGUAUUCGUAUUCCAUUGUCAGAGGUGAAAUUCUUGGAUUUCUGGAAGACGAACUACUGCGAAAGCAUUUACCAAGGAUGUUUUCAUUA